AAUCAACUUUUUUGAACAAUAAAUUGCUCUAUUCUAACAGAGAAAGUCUACUGUAUAAAAAAUACAUUACAUUAUCUAUAUUUAGCUAAUCAUAUUUUAAAAAAUAUUAUAUAAUAAAAAAUUAAUAAAAUAAAUAAUUUUUUAUAAUAAUAUAAAUUGUUAUAUUUGUUUCAGAUAUUACUACAUCAGUAAUAUAAUUGUUCAUA
This 206-nucleotide long non-coding RNA is filed under the name Ananas comosus (pineapple). Its description in RNAcentral is "long non-coding RNA (ACOM_LNC031048)". Lineage: Eukaryota; Viridiplantae; Streptophyta; Magnoliopsida; Poales; Bromeliaceae. The record is from RNAcentral.